This is a long non-coding RNA of Chelonia mydas (Green sea turtle), 574 nucleotides long. RefSeq lists it as uncharacterized. The transcript has 3 exons. NCBI's taxonomy places the organism in Eukaryota, Metazoa, Chordata, Testudines, Cheloniidae. The record is from RefSeq and is a predicted model, not a curated record.
CUGGUGUUCUAUCUGCUGCCUGGGGACGAGCCCAGGGCGAGGGCUCUGCCCUGGGACGCUCCAUUAUCUCCCCGUUCAUUACAAGGCCCUGCCCAGCCUCACACUUGCGGCUCAGCUCUACACGACUUCGGCUCUGGAGAUAAUCAUCCCCCAUCCCACACACUUGUGGUGGUAGAAGUCAGACGGAGGCAACUUGCUGGGCAAUCAUCACGAGAACAGAUGUCUUUAUCUGCCCUAGAGAUACCAACUCCAACUGCCCAAGACAUCAGCUACUGCAAAAAUUCUCUCCAAGAGAACCAACAAAAAGGCUAGCUACAGAUCAAAUGGUCCAUUGGAUCAGGUCACCAGUGAUGCUUACCAUGAUGUUGCAUACAACACAAACACACUUGCAGCUCGAGAUAUUGCACUACGAGCUUCCUUGGAAAUGUUUACUCCAUCAGGAAGCUGGGGAAAAAGAAAUGUCAUUUUAUCAGAUGAAAUUCAAGUCAUAUGGAUCUGGAGGCUAACAAGUCCUGUCCAGUUCAGUCAAGCCAUUCAGAGUGUUUGCAGUGAACAAUAAAUGUGAGAAAAUGAA